AUGCUCCUGGAGCUUAUCCCACUGCUGGGGAUACAUUUUGUCCUGAGAACUGCCAGAGCCCAGUCAGUGACCCAGCCUGACAUCCACAUCACUGUCUCUGAAGGAGCCUCACUGGAGUUGAGAUGUAACUAUUCCUAUGGGGCAACACCUUAUCUCUUCUGGUAUGUCCAGUCCCCCGGCCAAGGCCUCCAGCUGCUCCUGAAGUACUUUUCAGGAGACACUCUGGUUCAAGGCAUUAAAGGCUUUGAGGCUGAAUUUAAGAGGAGUCAAUCUUCCUUCAAUCUGAGGAAACCCUCUGUGCAUUGGAGUGAUGCUGCUGAGUACUUCUGUGCUGUGGGUGC
This is a non-coding RNA of Homo sapiens (human), 341 nucleotides long. Lineage: Eukaryota; Metazoa; Chordata; Mammalia; Primates; Hominidae. The record is from the annotation of a RefSeq genome assembly.